This 253-nucleotide ribosomal RNA is filed under the name uncultured bacterium. Its description in RNAcentral is "partial 16S ribosomal RNA". It matches the Rfam family "Bacterial small subunit ribosomal RNA", at positions 524 to 776 of the family's 1533-position model. The record is from RNAcentral.
UACGUAGGGGGCAAGCGUUGUCCGGAUUUAUUGGGCGUAAAGAGCGUGUAGGCGGCCUUGCAAGUCCGUUGUGAAAACUCGAGGCUCAACCUCGAGACGCCGGUGGAAACUGCAAAGCUAGAGUCCGGAAGAGGAGAGUGGAAUUCCUGGUGUAGCGGUGAAAUGCGCAGAUAUCAGGAGGAACACCCGUGGCGAAGGCGGCUCUCUGGGACGGUACUGACGCUGAGGCGCGAAAGCGUGGGGAGCAAACAGG